GGGCGCAUGGUGUAGUUGGUUAUCACAUCCGCUUAGCAUUUCUAAGCUUGCGGGGGGUGCUGGGUUCAAUUCCCAGUGCGUCCA
Molecule: non-coding RNA, 84 nt
Organism: Trametopsis cervina
Lineage: Eukaryota; Fungi; Basidiomycota; Agaricomycetes; Polyporales; Irpicaceae
Source: the annotation of a GenBank genome assembly